CUUCAAAGCUGAAACUGAGGCCUGAGACCCUCUCCCCUGGGAAGGGGGGGGGGGGGACUUGAGCAUCACUGCCCCCAGAGAAGAAGGGAUUUGGGUUAAUAUUAUCGAGUUAAAACCAAAGGGGAAAGGGGAGAUCAGAAGAGUCCAUGAUGGAAGUGUCAGUGGCAUUUUGAUGGCAGGAGUCUGGUCCUGGCCCAGAAUCGCACAGGGUGCUUUGUGGGGACCCAGGCAGGGUCAGGGGGAUUUGUCCUGGACACACCCAGGAAGACAGACAGAGGGAGAGGCAAGGUCAAGGGAAAGCUUGGGGCGUCUCUGAUUUGGCCUGGUUGUGCCCCAAAGGCACAUUUCCAGAGCUGGUGGGCAGAAAGGGACUAGAGACACUGGGGGGAAAAGUGAUCGGUCACAGAGUUCCUUCUCGAAGGUCUGGAGUUUUUGAAUGAUGCACAAAUGUAAAGGAAGUAACUUUGAAAAAGGGAUUUACAUCUGUUCCUUCAAAUCAGACAGGAAGGAAAGUGGACAGAGUUGGAACCACUGACCCGCAGCCUGGGAAGGAGGAGGCCUGGUGGUCACAGACCCUCUGGGACCGCUGUAGGGGACGCUGGGCACGGUGAGACGUGGCCGCGAAGCUCACACCGCCAGCGCUUUGGGAGGGGUUCUCUACAGGGCAGGGAAGGACAGAGUCCCGACUCAGCCAGCGAAGGAAAGCCAGCUGCCUUUAAGUAGCGAUUAGGGUGAAACUCUGUGUUAGGGACCGAACGGCGUCCCCUCAACUGUGUCACAUGUUGGAGCCCUGGCCUGGGGGCCCCGGAAGGAGGAAAAGCCCCCCUGCCGACACCGUGGUCUGGGCUUCCAGCCCGUGGACCGUGAGGAUGUCAGGCCGGGCGGUUCCAGGCCUGGCGUGCGGCGCUCCAUCAGGGUCGUGGUCCCCAGGGCCCUGAGCAGCUGCAAACGAAGGCUCCAGGAUGUCACGUGGUCUCUGCUCUCUCCUGCGUCCUGUCCACAGCCCUGGGCCGUAAGUGAACAGGAUCUGAGUUACCCACCGCGCAGUCCUCACCCACCGUCUUAGGGUUCUGGCGGCUCCGCCCAUGACACCCACACCUGUUACCUCAGCUCAGGUCAUGAUCUCCGGUUGGUGGGUUCGAGCCCCACGUCGGGCUCUGUGCUGACACCUUGGGGCCAGGAGCCUGUUUCGGAUUCUGUGUCUCCCUCUCUCUCUGUCCUCCCCCCCCUCAAAAAUAAAAUAAACAUUAAAAAAUGUUUAGGUUCUGGAGGCCAGACAUUUGAAACCCACGUGUGGCGAGGUGGGCCC
RNAcentral lists this long non-coding RNA (1309 nucleotides) under Suricata suricatta (meerkat). RNAcentral's name for it is "lncRNA (ENSSSUG00005008070.1)". Lineage: Eukaryota; Metazoa; Chordata; Mammalia; Carnivora; Herpestidae. The record is from RNAcentral.